GCUCCGGUAGUGUAGCCCGGCCAAUCAUAUCGGCCUUUCGAGCCAAUGACACGGGUCCGAAUCCCGUCCGGAGCA
RNAcentral lists this transfer RNA (75 nucleotides) under Candidatus Methanolliviera hydrocarbonicum. Its description in RNAcentral is "tRNA-Glu". It matches the Rfam family "tRNA". From Rfam's summary of the family: Transfer RNA (tRNA) molecules are approximately 80 nucleotides in length. Their secondary structure includes four short double-helical elements and three loops (D, anti-codon, and T loops). RNAcentral also lists the same sequence under 1 other name. The record is from RNAcentral. Lineage: Archaea; Methanobacteriati; Methanobacteriota; Candidatus Methanoliparia; Candidatus Methanoliparales; Candidatus Methanollivieraceae.